This 490-nucleotide ribosomal RNA is filed under the name uncultured Acidobacteriota bacterium. Its description in RNAcentral is "bacterial SSU rRNA". It matches the Rfam family "Bacterial small subunit ribosomal RNA", at positions 889 to 1379 of the family's 1533-position model. Lineage: Bacteria; Pseudomonadati; Acidobacteriota. The record is from RNAcentral.
CAAGGCUGAAACUCAAAGGAAUUGACGGGGGCCCGCAUAAGCGGUGGAGCAUGUGGUUCAAUUCGACGCAACGCGAAGAACCUUACCCAGGCUUGAACAGCGAGUGAUCCGCGACGAAAGUCGCCUCCCGCAAGGGCACUCGUAGAGGUGCUGCAUGGCUGUCGUCAGCUCGUGUCGUGAGAUGUUGGGUUAAGUCCCGCAACGAGCGCAACCCUUGUUUGCUGUUGCCAUCACGUUAUGGUGGGCACUCUGCAAAGACUGCCGGUGAUAAACCGGAGGAAGGUGGGGAUGACGUCAAGUCAGCAUGGCCUUUAUGUCUGGGGCUACACACGUGCUACAAUGGCCGGUACAAACCGUCGCGAUACCGCAAGGUGGAGCUAAUCGGAGAAAGCCGGUCUCAGUUCGGAUAGCAGGCUGCAAGGAGGCCUGCUUGAAGUUGGAAUCGCUAGUAAUCGCGGAUCAGCACGCCGCGGUGAAUACGUUCCCGGGC